RNAcentral lists this ribosomal RNA (623 nucleotides) under uncultured bacterium. RNAcentral's name for it is "bacterial SSU rRNA". It matches the Rfam family "Bacterial small subunit ribosomal RNA", at positions 225 to 848 of the family's 1533-position model. The record is from RNAcentral.
AUGGGGAUGCGUUCCAUUAGGUUGUUGGUGAGGUAACGGCCCACCAAGCCUUCGAUGGAUAGGGGUUCUGAGAGGAAGGUCCCCCACAUUGGAACUGAGACACGGUCCAAACUCCUACGGGAGGCAGCAGUGAGGAAUAUUGGUCAAUGGGCGUUAGCCUGAACCAGCCAAGUAGCGUGAAGGAUGAAGGCUCUAUGGGUCGUAAACUUCUUUUAUAUAAGAAUAAAGUGCAGUAUGUAUACUGUUUUGUAUGUAUUAUAUGAAUAAGGAUCGGCUAACUCCGUGCCAGCAGCCGCGGUAAUACGGAGGAUCCGAGCGUUAUCCGGAUUUAUUGGGUUUAAAGGGAGCGUAGGUGGACUGGUAAGUCAGUUGUGAAAGUUUGCGGCUCAACCGUAAAAUUGCAGUUGAUACUGUCAGUCUUGAGUACAGUAGAGGUGGGCGGGAUUCGUGGUGUAGCGGUGAAAUGCUUAGAUAUCACGAAGAACUCCGAUUGCGAAGGCAGCUCACUGGACUGCAACUGACACUGAUGCUCGAAAGUGUGGGUAUCAAACAGGAUUAGAUACCCUGGUAGUCCACACAGUAAACGAUGAAUACUCGCUGUUUGCGAUAUACAGUAAGCGGCC